GGGGGUAUAGCUCAGCUGGUAGAGCACCGUCCCUUUAAGUCGGUGGUCCAGGGUUCAAACCCCUGUGCCCUCACCA
RNAcentral lists this transfer RNA (76 nucleotides) under Candidatus Fermentibacterota bacterium. RNAcentral's name for it is "Candidatus Fermentibacteria bacterium tRNA-Lys". It matches the Rfam family "tRNA". From Rfam's summary of the family: Transfer RNA (tRNA) molecules are approximately 80 nucleotides in length. Their secondary structure includes four short double-helical elements and three loops (D, anti-codon, and T loops). The record is from RNAcentral. Lineage: Bacteria; Pseudomonadati; Candidatus Fermentibacterota. RNAcentral also lists the same sequence under 2 other names.